GUCUUAGUAGUUUACAAAAAACAUUGGUCUUGUAAACCAAAAAUAAAAUUUAUUUUUCUAAGGCU
This 65-nucleotide transfer RNA is filed under the name Panorpa dispergens. Its description in RNAcentral is "tRNA-Thr". It matches the Rfam family "tRNA". From Rfam's summary of the family: Transfer RNA (tRNA) molecules are approximately 80 nucleotides in length. Their secondary structure includes four short double-helical elements and three loops (D, anti-codon, and T loops). Lineage: Eukaryota; Metazoa; Arthropoda; Insecta; Mecoptera; Panorpidae. The record is from RNAcentral.